RNAcentral lists this long non-coding RNA (944 nucleotides) under Lupinus angustifolius (narrow-leaved blue lupine). RNAcentral describes it as "long non-coding RNA (LANG_LNC003546)". The record is from RNAcentral. Lineage: Eukaryota; Viridiplantae; Streptophyta; Magnoliopsida; Fabales; Fabaceae.
GCGAAUUUAGGUUAAUAAUGUGUAUUACAUUCAUACUAAUUAUAGUACACUGCCAUGCCUCAUAUAUCAAUGAUAUUCAUCCUAUAAUAACAUGUGUAAUUUUAUAUCAAUUUCGUAUGAUGAUCACUAACAAAUAGAGACGUAUUUCUUAUUCACUGCUAUACUAUUGAUGUAUAUACCAUGACCUUGAAUAUUCAUGAAAGUUUGUUUUUAGUGGAUGAAUAAAAAUAACACAUAAUUGAAUAAAAAGAAAAUUAUCAGUGAGCCAAAAAUAUUAAGUUGAACCACCAUCCUCAAACUACCGCCAACUCCGGUGGAGGUUCUUACGGCUGUCCAACAUGAGGGGACUGUCACCAUGAGAGUGGAAGGCUCUUCUCAAUAUCGUCCAACAACGCCUUCCAAACUGCCGAAACCGACUCUGUGUUUGACGAAGUAGUUUCCAAACCGGGAGAGGUCUCCCAUGGCUUCACUGGAAACUCGCCCAACCUGCAUAGGAGAAGGAAGAAUCUAUCAUCCCUGUCACUCGCAGAACAGAACAAAGGAACACGGAUACCCAACACGUCUUCACGGAAUGCUUCUCGGCUAUUAACACUUGGAUCUCCGACGACUACAUCACCUCCAUGGGCGUGGAGGCGACACCUAUAGAUAGUUGAACUCAUCCCAAACGCAGUCGUCCUUCCAUGGACGAUCUAUCCCGAUUCCAUGACUGCAUAGUCACCUUCCUGGAUGGCACAACUUCUUCCGUCACUUGCGUUGCUGGAGUCGCCUCAAUGUCUGACCAGAAGUAUCCUUCUCCGUCAAUAAGAGAGGGUGGCGGCUCCAUGAAGAAGAGAACCCUUUUCUUUACCAUAUUUCUCCCAAACAAUCAAUCUGAUUAUACAAAACCUAAUCCCCAGAUUUUUACCCAACCUAAGUUGCUUCCCCUUGGGCCUUUUCUAUUUUUG